ACUUGCUCUCGGGUGACGAGCGGCGGACGGGUGAGUAAUGUCUGGGAAACUGCCUGAUGGAGGGGGAUAACUACUGGAAACGGUAGCUAAUACCGCAUAACGUCGCAAGACCAAAGUGGGGGACCUUCGGGCCUCAUGCCAUCAGAUGUGCCCAGAUGGGAUUAGCUAGUAGGUGGGGUAACGGCUCACCUAGGCGACGAUCCCUAGCUGGUCUGAGAGGAUGACCAGCCACACUGGAACUGAGACACGGUCCAGACUCCUACGGGAGGCAGCAGUGGGGAAUAUUGCACAAUGGGCGCAAGCCUGAUGCAGCCAUGCCGCGUGUGUGAAGAAGGCCUUCGGGUUGUAAAGCACUUUCAGCGGGGAGGAAGGCGUUGAGGUUAAUAACCUUGGCGAUUGACGUUACCCGCAGAAGAAGCACCGGCUAACUCCGUGCCAGCAGCCGCGGUAAUACGGAGGGUGCAAGCGUUAAUCGGAAUUACUGGGCGUAAAGCGCACGCAGGCGGUCUGUCAAGUCGGAUGUGAAAUCCCCGGGCUCAACCUGGGAACUGCAUUCGAAACUGGCAGGCUAGAGUCUUGUAGAGGGGGGUAGAAUUCCAGGUGUAGCGGUGAAAUGCGUAGAGAUCUGGAGGAAUACCGGUGGCGAAGGCGGCCCCCUGGACAAAGACUGACGCUCAGGUGCGAAAGCGUGGGGAGCAAACAGGAUUAGAUACCCUGGUAGUCCACGCCGUAAACGAUGUCGAUUUGGAGGCUGUGCCCUUGAGGCGUGGCUUCCGG
RNAcentral lists this ribosomal RNA (777 nucleotides) under Klebsiella pneumoniae. RNAcentral's name for it is "bacterial SSU rRNA". It matches the Rfam family "Bacterial small subunit ribosomal RNA", at positions 74 to 849 of the family's 1533-position model. Lineage: Bacteria; Pseudomonadati; Pseudomonadota; Gammaproteobacteria; Enterobacterales; Enterobacteriaceae. The record is from RNAcentral.